CCGGAUUUAUUGGGCGUAAAGGGUGCUCAGCUGGUUUAUUAAGUCUGUAGUUAAAAUUCGAAGCUCAACUUCGAAGUGCUGCGGAAACUGGUAAACUUGAGUACAGGAGAGGGUAGUGGAAUUCCAUGUGAAGCGGUAAAAUGCGUAGAUAUAUGGAGGAACACCAGUGGCGAAGGCGGCUACCUGGCCUGUAACUGACGGUCAAGCACGAAAGCGUGGGGAGCAAAUAGGAUUAGAUACCCUAGUAGUCCACGCGGUAAACGAUGAAUACUAAGUGUUGGGGAAACUCAGUGCUACAGUUAACGCAAUAAGUAUUCCGCCUGGGGAGUAUGCGCGCAAGCGUAAAACUCAAAGGAAUUGACGGGGGCCCGCACAAGCGGUGGAUCAUGUGGUUUAAUUCGACGCAACGCGAAGAACCUUACCAGGUCUUGACAUAUCGGGCAAAACUCUAGAGAUAGAGCUAUAAUUAUUCCGAAUACAGGUGGUGCAUGGUUGUCGUCAGCUCGUGUCGUGAGAUGUUGGGUUAAGUCCCGUAACGAGCGCAACCCCUAUCUUUAGUUGCCAGCAUUAAGUUGGGGACUCUAAAGAGACUGCCGGUGAUAAACCGGAGGAAGGUGGGGAUGACGUCAAAUCAUCAUGCCCCUUAUGACCUGGGCUACACACGUGAUACAAUGGCGUAUACAAUCGGGGAGCUAAGCAGUGAUGUGGAGCAAAUCCUAAAAAGUACGUCUCAGUUCGGAUCGUAGUCUGCAACUCGACUACGUGAAGUUGGAAUCGCUAGUAAUCGCA
Molecule: ribosomal RNA, 789 nt
Filed under: uncultured Bacillota bacterium
Lineage: Bacteria; Bacillati; Bacillota
Description: bacterial SSU rRNA
Rfam family: Bacterial small subunit ribosomal RNA
Source: RNAcentral